Molecule: ribosomal RNA, 253 nt
Filed under: uncultured bacterium
Lineage: Bacteria
Description: partial 16S ribosomal RNA
Rfam family: Bacterial small subunit ribosomal RNA
Source: RNAcentral
UACGUAGGGGGCAAGCGUUGUCCGGAAUCAUUGGGCGUAAAGCGCGUGUAGGCGGCCCGGUAAGUCCGCUGUGAAAGUCCAGGGCUCAACCCUGGGAUGCCGGUGGAUACUGUCGGGCUCGAGUCCGGAAGAGGCGAGUGGAAUUCCUGGUGUAGCGGUGAAAUGCGCAGAUAUCAGGAGGAACACCGAUGGCGAAGGCAGCUCGCUGGGACGUGACUGACGCUGAGACGCGAAAGCGUGGGGAGCAAACAGG